Molecule: long non-coding RNA, 4954 nt
Filed under: Sus scrofa (pig)
Lineage: Eukaryota; Metazoa; Chordata; Mammalia; Artiodactyla; Suidae
Description: lncRNA (ENSSSCG00000053580.1)
Source: RNAcentral
CAAGGAGAAGAAAGUCUAUAUGAACACACAGCAAGAAGGCUACCAUCUGCAGGCCAGGAAGAGGGCCUUCAAUAGGAACUGAAUUAACCAGUACCAUGAUUUUGGAUGUCCUAUCCGCCAGAACUGUGAGGAAUACAUUUCUAUUCUCUAAGCCAUUGUGUAUAUGGUAUUUUACUAUGGAAACCUGAGCUAAGACAUAGGCUAACUCAGAGAUUACAACAAUGGGAAGGCACUACUCUCCCUAGGAUAGAAGGACAAAUUGAGAAGGCAGUGUUAUUAGCACCCAGGGUCUGAAGGCAUCUGAAGGAGGCUGGAACCAUGACAGCCUGUCCUUUGGGAGCUGGGAGGACAGAGAAGAUGCAGCCUGGUCAAGAGAGAAAUGGGGAGAAACACCCUGACCUUUUCUCUCCCUCCUGUUCUCUAAUCUUCCAUUAGGGCCUCCCACCAGCAGAAUAAUGUGAAACAGCUGUUAUUUGGCAAGAGAAACUUCAGGGCUGUGGACUUUGUGACAGGGGGGCAGAACAGGAAGGGGAGGGAUGGAUGUGAGGGCAUAUAUAUCCAGGAAUGCAGAAGAUGCUUUGUUUAGCUGACACAGUGUCUUUGAAAAUCUCUGCUGUCUUGCCCGUGGAUGGGGCAUGUUCUUGCAGGUUAGGCUUGGCACAGUGUCAGCCCAAGCUGUUCCAUAGCUGCUUUAACCCCUGCUUUAACGGAUAGGUGAUGGAAGGCAGGUAAAGGUGUUUUAAAAGUAGAGACAGUAUGGGAAAGGCAUGAGGGCUAAAAUAGAAUGCCACAGAUGGCAAUUUCUAUACCUUUUUUUUUAAGCUAGCCUGGGCCUCCAAAGUUGUAAUUUCUAAAAGAAAUAGCUCUUGACUCUUAAUAUUCCAUAGUGAAAUCCAGAGCAUGACAGGUUUCAAAUUGUGUCUGUGAGCAUCUUCUAUUUGAAAAGCUAUUUCAUGUGCAUCUGGAGUCAACUAAAUAAGGCAAUAUGAUGUUCACAUGGGCUCAGCCUCAUUCUUUGUAAAUCAUUACAGCUGUGUAAGGGGCGGGCCCAUACAUAAUGACCCUUGGUCCUGUGUCUGUAAGCCUGACCCAGCCAGCCAGCGUCCGUCUCUCUGCGCCAACUGCAGAGAACUCAGCAGAUAUUUAACAACAGAGAGGGAAUGAGGAUGUUUGAGAACUUUAACCAAGGCCAGGAUAAAGGACAAGGUUAGUCAAUAUGGUGGGAAUGGGCUGGUGAGGUCCAGACUAUAGGCUUCAGAGGCUUCCUGCCUGUCUGACUGCAGUUCAGCCUGUUACUGUGCCCUGCAUACAAAGGGGGGCUAGUGUGGGGCUGUGUCUGCCUGGAGAGGAGGGGAGCACCUCAUUAUACGCUAGACAAGGUGCUGGAUGGUGGCUCCUACAGCACCCAGACUGUGGAGAGCAUGUCUUUAUUUCGAAGCCCUCUCAUUAAAGUCAAUGUGUCCCAUUCAAACCUUUCCAAAUGUGGAGAUAAGUAGGGGUUUAUGCUGCAGACUAGACCCAUCCUAACCUUUCUCACCAGGUGGUUUCUGUGCUCCAUUUGCACAUCCUAUUUUGGUCUCCCAUGCUCCCAUUCAGUUUUGCUCAUUUGUCUUUAUUGGUUUGGAAUAGUCUUUGGCUUUAGGGUGACUUUGCCCUGAGGAGAGCAGGGUACAGUGACAAUUCGUUCUAACCAGCCUUGAUUGCAGGAGCCAUGGACAUAGGCAUUUCCAGGGCAGGGUGGUCCCUGGAGCAGGCUAAGCAGGCAAGGAAGGGGUGGCCACCCACCCAGCCCAUCCAAAGGGGGAAUGCUCAGCCUGAAUGGAUUACAGGCCAUGGGUGCUCAGGCCCUGUGUUUCUGGCUUUGGUAUAUUUCAAGAAAGUUUGGAGACCUCUGUGCAAAUUUUCAAGUAUGGGAAAUUAAUUCUAAAAGUUUUAAAACAAUGUGUCAGUUAUAGAAUCCACUUCUGUGGUCAAAAUAUAGCCCAGGGGCCAACAGUUUGCUAUCUUUGACUUGCGGAGCAUUGGUCUGUUCCAGGAUUGGACUGUGGGCAGCAACAAGGUGAGUGAGAUGGUGUUGCUGUCCUGAAGGGGCUUCAGGGUUGGGGAUAUAACUGGAAAACCUAAGACAUGCUGUAGAGAGAUUCCAGGAAAUACUGCAGGUGCCCUAACAGAAGAGAUUUUAUGAAAAUAAUCUUUAAGUGGUUUUUACGUGAAAUAGUAAUUCCACCUAAAAAUCACUGAACUUUAAAAUAGAGGAAGCCCCCCUCUUCUGUUUUUAGGGUCCAUGGUAUGCAACAGGCUUAAAGGUGAGGUUACUUUAGUAAUGAGUCCUUUUAGGACUUCACUAAACAAAUCCCCUGAGGCGGAGCUCCUGUCCUGGCUCAGUGGUUAACAAAUCUGACUGUGAACCCUGAGGUUGCGGGUUCAAUCUCUGACCUCGCUCAGUGGGUUAAGGAUCCAGCGUUGCUGUGAGCUGUGGUGUAGGUCUCAGAUGCAGCUCAGAUCCCGCGUUGCUAUGACUCUGGCAUAGGCUGGCAGCUACACCUCUAAUUAGACCCCUAGUCUGGGAACCUCCAUAUGUGGUGGGUGUGACCCCAGAAAUGACAAAAAGACAAAACAAAAAGCAAAUAUACAAAUCCCCUGAGGGAAGGGGUUUAAACUUUGCUGAUUUCCACUCAGGAGUGUUACAGUGAAAUUCCUGUGUAAAUAGUGAAAUAGGAUUUCAAAAGAUUGCUUUUUAUCUAGGCAGGAUGAUUGAUGAGAGGUAAUCCUUUGAGAUGUGUCCGCAUGCUCAGCAGCCCAGCUGUUCUAGAACUUCCCAAAUGUGGAGCUUGGCAGGUUGUAGCAAAGCCAGACCUGAGGAGACAUCUGAGGUAGGGCUCUGCUUGGGGGCAGAUCCAGCUGACAGAGACUCCAGUCAGCAGGACAUCUGAGUCAGGAUCUGGUGAUUAUCUCAUUAUCCCUGGAGCCCCCAUGGCCCUGGGCGCCCACCUCUUCCGAGGCUCUUCACAGGCUAUAUUACAAUCAGCUGUGCUUUCCUUCUAGUAGGACCCAAGCAUUUUGGGGCAUGGUCAAUAUCUUUAUAUGCUUGUGCUUAAUGGAAGGCUGGUAUGAAGAGGCAUUGAAUGUCAGUUAAAUGGAUGAGUAAGUGAUAAUGGAACAAAAACCUAGCCAGGUUUACAGCAUCUGGGAGAUUCAGCAAGAGGUGCCAAUUGGCAGGUGGGUGGGGCACCAUGAUGGGCAGUUUUGAGUUGCAGGUGUCUGGAGACCCCAGCCUGUGAGUAGAGGCUGAAGUCAAGAGCAGUCCCUAGCUUUGGGGCAAGGGUGGAUCACCAAAGUAGGACUCAGUAGGAGAUGGCACAACCUGGAUUCCAGGUCAUAGGACUGAGGAACAGAAUACAGCUUCAGGACAACAGCGAGCCAGGGCUAAGAAUGUGUGUGCUGACAUCUAAGACCUUCAAGUUCAAAUCUCGGUUCUACCUUUUCCUGAGUAAUUGUGUAAUAGACUUGACUUUGCUGUGCCUCAGUGUCUUCAUCUCUUAAGGGGGUUAUAAUUGUUAGGAAGAUAAAAUUAGUUGUAUGUGAAGCAGUUAGGUUAGGACCUGUCAGCGAAUUAUUAAUAAAAACAGAGAUAGGGCUUGAUUAGUAGCAGCAUAGUAGAUGCUGAGAAUCAGUCUCAGGUAUUUUGAAAACUGUACCUCUCUUUACCCUCAUUUCAACUGGGGUAUUGAGAAUACAUACUACGGCAUGAUUAGUAACAGGAUACUUGAUGCUGAGAACUGGGAGUUGGGGGAUCUAUCUCAGGUAUUUUGAAAACCUUAUCAUUCUUUACCCACACCCCAACCAGGGUAUUGAGAAUACACACUAUAUUUCAAAGGCUUUCUAGAAAUUCUGAUAACUCCCUCUCCAUGCACUCUUCUUCAGAUAACUUGCAUUUUUAUUUCUUUGAAUCAUUCCCCCGAAAUUCCCUAAUACCGUGUUAGGGGAUUUUCCAGGAUGUGAAGACAAAAUAUCCCCAGAUGGUGGUUACUAAAACGAUAUUGGGGCAGGUAGGAUUGAUGCAUCCAUGAAUCAUAGCACAUGCAGUGCCUGGGGCCCAUGAUGCUUAGGGAUUCACAAAAGUGUUUUAAAUUCUUUCACAAUGAGAAAAAGAAAAAUGAACUUUCAGGUUGGGAAAAAUGUUUUCAUACAUAAUAUUAAGUUAAUAUAAUCAUAUUUGUGCUGAUAUAGUCAUAAAAUAUUAAGUAUAUUUUAUGAAGGAAGUGGUCUAUAAAAGCAAGUGAGUCAAAUAUUAAAGAGCCAUUAAAGAGAAUGAAAUAAUGCUAUUUGCAGCAACAUGGUUGGACCUAGAGAUGAUCAUAUUGAGUGAAGUCAAAGACAAAUAUCAUAUGAUAUCACUUAUUUGUUGAAUCUUAAAAAUGAUAUAAUUUCAGAAGUUCCCAUUGUGGCGCAGUGGCAGUGAACCUCACUAGCAUCCAUGAGGAUGUGGGUUUGAUCCCUGGUCUCACACAGUGGGUUAAGGAUCCAGCGUUGCUCUGAGCUGUGGUAUGGGCUAGCAGCUGCAGCUCUGAUUAUACCCCAAGCCUGGGAACUUUCAUAUGGUGCAGGUGAGGCCCUAAAAACAAAUGUGUGUGUGUGUGUGUGUGUGUGUGUGUGUGUGUGUAUGAUUUAACUCAUUUACAAAAAAAAAAAAAAACUCAGACAUAGAAAACAAUCUGGGGGAAGGGGAGGGAGUGGAAGGGACUGGGAACUUGGGGUAAAUAGAUACAGAAUGUUGCCUCAGGGAUGGAUUAGCAAUGGGAUCCUGCUGUGUAGCACUGGGAACUCUGUCUAGUCACUUAUGAUGGAACACAUAAUGUGAGAAAAAAGAAUGUAUACAUGUAAGUGUAAUGGGUCACCAUGCUGUACAGUAGAAAAAAAUAUGUAUAUAUAAAUAAAUUUUAAAAAGAGUCAG